This 163-nucleotide ribosomal RNA is filed under the name Exochaenium grande. RNAcentral describes it as "5.8S ribosomal RNA". It matches the Rfam family "5.8S ribosomal RNA". Rfam says of the family: 5.8S ribosomal RNA (5.8S rRNA) is a component of the large subunit of the eukaryotic ribosome. It is transcribed by RNA polymerase I as part of the 45S precursor that also contains 18S and 28S rRNA. Functionally, it is thought that 5.8S rRNA may be involved in ribosome translocation. Lineage: Eukaryota; Viridiplantae; Streptophyta; Magnoliopsida; Gentianales; Gentianaceae. The record is from RNAcentral.
AAAACGACUCUCGGCAACGGAUAUCUCGGCUCUCGCAUCGAUGAAGAACGUAGCAAACUGCGAUACUUGGUGUGAAUUGCAGAAUCCCGUGAACCAUCGAGUCUUUGAACGCAAGUUGCGCCCGAAGCCAUCCGGCUGAGGGCACGUCUGCCUGGGCGUCACG